AUUGAACGCUGGCGGAAUGCUUUACACAUGCAAGUCGAACGAUGAACCUUAGCUUGCUAAGGGGAUUAGUGGCGAACGGGUGAGUAAUAUAUCGGAACGUGCCUUGUAAUGGGGGAUAACUAGUCGAAAGAUUAGCUAAUACCGCAUACGCCCUGAGGGGGAAAGUAGGGGAUCUUCGGACCUUACGUUAUAAGAGCGGCCGAUAUCUGAUUAGCUAGUUGGUGGGGUAAUGGCCUACCAAGGCGACGAUCAGUAGCUGGUCUGAGAGGACGACCAGCCACACUGGAACUGAGACACGGUCCAGACUCCUACGGGAGGCAGCAGUGGGAAAUUUUGGACAAUGGGCGCAAGCCUGAUCCAGCCAUUCCGCGUGAGUGAAGAAGGCCUUCGGGUUGUAAAGCUCUUUCGCAAGGGAAGAAAACUUACCAUCGAAUAAAUGGUGAGGCUGACGGUACCUUGAUAAGAAGCACCGGCUAACUACGUG
RNAcentral lists this ribosomal RNA (484 nucleotides) under uncultured bacterium. RNAcentral describes it as "partial 16S ribosomal RNA". It matches the Rfam family "Bacterial small subunit ribosomal RNA", at positions 30 to 507 of the family's 1533-position model. The record is from RNAcentral.